RNAcentral lists this long non-coding RNA (432 nucleotides) under Anas platyrhynchos platyrhynchos (common mallard). RNAcentral's name for it is "lncRNA (ENSAPLG00000025496.1)". The record is from RNAcentral. Lineage: Eukaryota; Metazoa; Chordata; Aves; Anseriformes; Anatidae.
GGCAGUCUAUCUGCAGUGUGGCCUAUCUCUGCAUAUGUAGCUAUUCCCAUCCAGGAAGGGUGGACAGGACCCACAGCAGCUGCAUGUCCUGGUUGUGAUCUGUGGCCUCAGACACCACGAGGUGAGACGUGAGCCUCUAGAGGUCACUGGCACACCAGACCAGAUGGCAAGAGGGACAGGGCUGCUCUGGGCAAGGUUUUACAGCAAGUGUUCUUUUUUACAGAAACAACAUGUUGAAAAUCUAUCUAACAAGCUGAAGAGCAAUGCUGCCAGGAUUUCUUGGCUACUGCUGUUGCAUGGAACAGGCAGACUCACAUGAGCUGCUGUAAGCACAGAUUUCAGUUUGUAUGCUGCAGUGCAGAACUCAGCUGAGUCUGAAAGACCACCCUGGGAGUCCAGGUAAAGAAGUGCUUGGUGCCUAUAUUAAAACUA